This 1407-nucleotide ribosomal RNA is filed under the name Streptomyces sp. vh6. RNAcentral describes it as "bacterial SSU rRNA". It matches the Rfam family "Bacterial small subunit ribosomal RNA". Lineage: Bacteria; Bacillati; Actinomycetota; Actinomycetes; Kitasatosporales; Streptomycetaceae. The record is from RNAcentral.
UCGAACGAUGACCGGGUUCGGCCGGUGAUUAGUGGCGAACGGGUGAGUAACACGUGGGCAAUCUGCCCUGCACUCUGGACAAGCCCUGGAAACGGGGUCUAAUACGGAUACCACGCUUUCCCGCAUGGGAUAAGCGUGGAAAGCUCCGGCGGUGCAGGAUGAGCCCGCGGCCUAUCAGCUUGUUGGUGGGGUGAUGGCCUACCAAGGCGACGACGAGUAGCCGGCCUGAGGGGCGACCGGCCACACUGGGACUGAGACACGGCCCAGACUCCUACGGGAGGCAGCAGUGGGGAAUAUUGCACAAUGGGCGAAAGCCUGAUGCAGCGACGCCGCGUGAGGGAUGACGGCCUUCGGGUUGUAAACCUCUUCAGCAGGGAAGAAGCGCAAGUGACGGUACCUGCAGAAGAAGCGCCGGCUAACUACGUGCCAGCAGCCGCGGUAAUACGUAGGGCGCAAGCGUUGUCCGGAAUUAUUGGGCGUAAAGAGCUCGUACGGGGCUUGUCGCGUCGGAUGUGAAAGCCCGGGGCUUAACCCCGGGUCUGCAUUCGAUACGGGCAGGCUAGAGUUCGGUAGGGGAGAUCGGAAUUCCUGGUGUAGCGGUGAAAUGCGCAGAUAUCAAGAGGAACACCGGUGGCGAAGGCGGAUCUCUGGGCCGAUACUGACGCUGAGGAGCGAAAGCGUGGGGAGCGAACAGAUUAGAUACCCUGGUAGUCCACGCCGUAAACGUUGGGAACUAGGUGUGGGCGACAUUCCACGUUGUCCGUGCCGCAGCUAACGCAUUAAGUUCCCCGCCUGGGGAGUACGGCCGCAAGGCUAAAACUCAAAGGAAUUGACGGGGCCCGCACAAGCGGCGGAGCAUGUGGCUUAAUUCGACGCAACGCGAAAAACCUUACCAAGGCUUGACAUACACCGGAAACCCUGGAGACAGGGUCCCCCUUGUGGUCGGUGUACAGGUGGUGCAUGGCUGUCGUCAGCUCGUGUCGUGAGAUGUUGGGUUAAGUCCCGCAACGAGCGCAACCCUUGUUCUGUGUUGCCAGCAUGCCUUUCGGGGUGAUGGGGACUCACAGGAGACUGCCGGGGUCAACUCGGAGGAAGGUGGGGACGACGUCAAGUCAUCAUGCCCCUUAUGUCUUGGGCUGCACACGUGCUACAAUGGCCGGUACAAUGAGCUGCGAAGCCGUAGGUGGAGCGAAUCUCAAAAGCCGGUCUCAGUUCGGAUUGGGGUCUGCAACUCGACCCCAUGAAGUCGGAGUCGCUAGUAAUCGCAGAUCAGCAUUGCUGCGGUGAAUACGUUCCCGGGCCUUGUACACACCGCCGUCACGUCACGAAAGUCGGUAACACCCGAAGCCGGUGGCCCAACCCUGUGAGGGAGCCGUCGAAGGUGGACUGGCGAUUGGGACGAGUCGU